RNAcentral lists this long non-coding RNA (699 nucleotides) under Capra hircus (goat). Its description in RNAcentral is "lncRNA (ENSCHIG00000008020.1)". The record is from RNAcentral. Lineage: Eukaryota; Metazoa; Chordata; Mammalia; Artiodactyla; Bovidae.
AUGGGUCGCAGAAGGGCCCGCCUAUGGGCACUUUUCCAGUGCUGCUACCCCAAGGCAAAGGCCAAGACAAGGAAGAACUUGGCCUCGGCCCAAGUCCUGGAAGCAGAGUGGCCUGAGGAGUUGGCAACAUCUACGGAAGAAUUCAAAAUGUGCUGGAAGCAGCUUCUUGCAAGAGAGGAGGAAAUGGCUGUGCUCAUAGCAGAAAGGGACCACACCAGGCUGCUGCUGGAGCACCUGGAAUGCCUGGUUUCCCAGUACAUACCGUCCCUGCAGAUGAUGGCGGGCAAGUGGCAGGCGCAGUCCCCAGCCGGCAUGACCAGAGAGCUCGAGGUGCUCAAGGCAUUGAAGUCACUCUUUGAGCACCACAAGGCCCUGGACAAGAAGGCUAUGGCCCAGAAGGAGGACAUGGAGAAGAGAAUCACUCCACUUGAGAAACGCUACCUCGCUGCACAGCGCGAAGCCAUCUCUGUGCACAACCUCGAUGAUAAACUUGAAAAUGAAAUCGCAAAUAAGGAUUCUAUGCAUCAACAGGUCAAACCUGCUUCAGCCACGUCUGUAAGGAAGGAUGAAAUUGACCAGCAGUCAUCAGCCCCACUGGAAGGGAGCCUCCAACAGAACUUAUGUCUACCAGGUAGAUUCUAAGACUGGUCUCCAACCCUUGUCUUCCUGUCUAUGCAUCUAUUUUUGGCUGUGCUGGGG